UACAGAGGUGGCAAGCGUUGUUCGGAGUUACUGGGCGUAAAGGGCGCGUAGGCGGCCUUCUAAGUCAGACGUGAAAUCCCCCGGCUUAACCUGGGAACUGCGUCUGAUACUGGAAGGCUUGAGUGCGGGAGAGGGAUGUGGAAUUCCAGGUGUAGCGGUGAAAUGCGUAGAUAUCUGGAGGAACACCGGUGGCGAAGGCGGCAUCCUGGACCGACACUGACGCUGAGGCGCGAAGGCCAGGGGAGCAAACGGG
RNAcentral lists this ribosomal RNA (253 nucleotides) under uncultured bacterium. RNAcentral's name for it is "partial 16S ribosomal RNA". It matches the Rfam family "Bacterial small subunit ribosomal RNA", at positions 524 to 776 of the family's 1533-position model. The record is from RNAcentral.